This 475-nucleotide ribosomal RNA is filed under the name uncultured bacterium. RNAcentral's name for it is "bacterial SSU rRNA". It matches the Rfam family "Bacterial small subunit ribosomal RNA", at positions 34 to 507 of the family's 1533-position model. The record is from RNAcentral.
CGCUGGCGGCAUGCCUUACACAUGCAAGUCGAACGGUAACGGGCCUUCGGGUGCCGACGAGUGGCGAACGGGUGAGUAAUGCAUCGGAACGUACCUUUCAGUGGGGGAUAACGUAGCGAAAGUUACGCUAAUACCGCAUAUUCUGUGAGCAGGAAAGCAGGGGAUCGCAAGACCUUGCGCUGAUUGAGCGGCCGAUGUCAGAUUAGCUAGUUGGUGAGGUAAAGGCUCACCAAGGCGACGAUCUGUAGCGGGUCUGAGAGGAUGAUCCGCCACACUGGAACUGAGACACGGUCCAGACUCCUACGGGAGGCAGCAGUGGGGAAUUUUGGACAAUGGGGCAACCCUGAUCCAGCCAUGCCGCGUGAGUGAAGAAGGCCUUCGGGUUGUAAAGCUCUUUCGGCCGGGAAGAAAUCGCAUGGGUUAAUACCCUGUGCGGAUGACGGUACCGGCAUAAGAAGCACCGGCUAACUACGUG